UAAUAUUUGAGCUUGAUGUUGGCUCAGUGUAACCGCUAGUUAGAUACAUAAUACAUGCGAAUGAAACGAUAUAAUAAUAUUAUUAAAAAUAAUAUAUAUUAUAUUAAUGUCGUGAAAACGUGAGUAAAGAAUGAUAAUAUGAACUAUUGUUUCAGUUAAAUACUGAUAUAAAUUAAAUAAAAUUAAAAAAUAAAGAAUAUAAAUAUAUAUUUGAUAAUAGUCAAGUCAUUAAUAACAUUAGGUAGUUGGUAGUAUAAUAGACUACCAAGCCAAUACUAUGUUUAGCUGACAAUGAAAGUUGGAACAGUCACGUUAACCUUGAAAUAAUGGUUAAUAUCUAUUAGAUACAGCAGUAAGUAACAUUUGUCAAUGGACGAAAGUCUGAACGAGUAAUCUAACAAGAUGAAUAAUAAAUAUUAUUUAAUAAACAAUGAUUAUUAAAUUAUUAAUAAUUAUAAAUAAUAUACCUCAGUAGAGGAAAAUGUUAAAGUAUAAAAUCUUAAUAUAUAAUUGACAUAAUGAGUAAAAUUAUAUAAAUAGUCCUAACUAAUUUAUGUGCCAGCCGUUGCGGUUAGACAUAUAGGACAAGUGGUACACAUUAAUGGUAUAAAGGGUCAGUAGUAUGGAUUAAAAAAAAUCUAGAAUAUUAUUAUUUAAAUUAUAAUGAAGUACAUGAGUAAGGGUUAAAUCUAUAGAUACAUGUAUGACAACCAAUAUAUGAAGGUAUUUAAUUAUAAUAAUAUUGACAUUGAGUGACGAAACCUAUAGUAUCAAAUUGGACUAGUCAACCAAUUAGUUAUAGGUGUAAACAAUGUAUGUUAAUAAAAAUAUAAAUUUAUUUUUAUAAAGUUAAUAUGAGAACAUACCACCUGAGGAGUACUACACAGUGUAGAAACUCAAAACAAUAGACCGUUUAGGUUAUUAACAGUGGAUCAUGUAGUUUAAUGCGAUAAUACACGCUAAUCUUACCAUAAUUUGCAUAUUUAAUUUUAUAUUAUUUACAAGUGCUACAUAACUGUCUCUAGUUCAUGCUGUAAAGUAUUAGGUUAAGUCCGUUAAUGAACGUAAUCUAUCUAAAUUUAAUAAAAAAUUUAGAUUUUUCAUAGAACGAAAAAUAUUAAAUAGAUUAAGACAAGUCUUCAUGGCCUUUAUAUUAUGGGCUACAUACGUGAUACAAUUAAACAUACAAAGUCUAAUAAAAUAAUUAUUAAUUAUUAAAUUAAUUGACUUAAAAUGUUUAAUAUAUUAUAUUAUAAUUAUCUUUUUAAGAUAUGUAUAUUAUAUAUAUAUUAUGUGAAUUAUAUACUGAAAUUUGUAUAUAUUAAAUCGGAAUUGUCAGUAAUGGUGUAUUAGUAUGACACCGUGAAGUUGUUUCCUAAGGGUACUAAUUACUCAUCAUUUGGCUGAAACACAUAGUCAUUCACUUAUUAUUAUUAUUUAUUAUAAUUUAUAAUUAUUUAUAUUAUUAUUUUAUUUUUAUAAUAUGGUAAUAAAUACUAUGAGUGACAGCUGAGAAGUUGAAAUAUAGUUGUGGUAGAUGAAUCUGCUGCGGUUAAUUAUCCUCU
Molecule: ribosomal RNA, 1565 nt
Organism: Sugiyamaella lignohabitans
Lineage: Eukaryota; Fungi; Ascomycota; Dipodascomycetes; Dipodascales; Trichomonascaceae
Rfam family: Bacterial small subunit ribosomal RNA
Source: Rfam